This 509-nucleotide ribosomal RNA is filed under the name uncultured bacterium. RNAcentral's name for it is "bacterial SSU rRNA". It matches the Rfam family "Bacterial small subunit ribosomal RNA", at positions 501 to 1009 of the family's 1533-position model. The record is from RNAcentral.
CUACGUGCCAGCAGCCGCGGUAAUACGUAGGUGGCAAGCGUUGUCCGGAAUUAUUGGGCGUAAAGCGCGCGCAGGCGGAUUGGUCAGUCUGUCUUAAAAGUUCGGGGCUUAACCCCGUGAUGGGAUGGAAACUGCCAAUCUAGAGUAUCGGAGAGGAAAGUGGAAUUCCUAGUGUAGCGGUGAAAUGCGUAGAUAUUAGGAGGAACACCAGUGGCGAAGGCGACUUUCUGGACGAAAACUGACGCUGAGGCGCGAAAGCCAGGGGAGCGAACGGGAUUAGAUACCCCGGUAGUCCUGGCCGUAAACGAUGGGUACUAGGUGUAGGAGGUAUCGACCCCUUCUGUGCCGGAGUUAACGCAAUAAGUACCCCGCCUGGGGAGUACGACCGCAAGGUUGAAACUCAAAGGAAUUGACGGGGGCCCGCACAAGCGGUGGAGUAUGUGGUUUAAUUCGUCGCAACGCGAAGAACCUUACCAGGUCUUGACAUUGAUGGACAGAACUAGAGAUAG